AUCCAGAGGACAGUGGAACAACAUCUUUAAAAGGUUGAAAGGAAAAACGAUCAACCCAGAAUUCUAUAUCCAGCACAAAUGUCCUUCAGGAAUGAAAGCAAGAUAAAGACAUUUUUCAGAUAAAGGAGAACCAAGAAAAUCCAUUACCAGCAGAACAUCACUACAAGUUACACAAAAGGAAGUUCUUCAAGAUAAAAGGAAAUGACAGCAGAGCAAAAACUGGAUCUUCAGGAACGAAUGGUGAAUGGGUGAUGGUGACAUUCACUGGGACAAGCUUACUGGACUGGGGUAGACAAGUACAGAUCAUCAGCCCAAUAUUGGACAAGCUGAGUAUGAAGUGACUGCAACGCCAACAGAUGACAUCAAACAGGCAGCUGGAUAUCUAAGUCAGGAGCUCUGACAACCUCUGGGCUGAAGGCAAAUCUGGGAGUCACCAGAGAACAAAUAUAAUUGAAGUUGUGAACACAAACAGCAUCCGCCAAGGAAUCAGAACCUAAAGAAGUGGAGGAAGGUACCCACUCAUAUCAGAAGUCAUGCUCUGCAUCAAAUAGCAAAAGAAAGUGUCUCAAAAAAAAAAA
Long non-coding RNA from Prionailurus viverrinus (fishing cat), 578 nucleotides. RefSeq lists it as uncharacterized. The transcript has 3 exons. The record is from RefSeq and is a predicted model, not a curated record. Lineage: Eukaryota; Metazoa; Chordata; Mammalia; Carnivora; Felidae.